AUUGAACGCUGGCGGCAGGCCUAACACAUGCAAGUCGAACGAGUGGCGGACGGGUGAGUAAUGUCUGGGAAACUGCCUGAUGGAGGGGGAUAACUACUGGAAACGGUAGCUAAUACCGCAUACCAUCAGAUUUGCCCAGAGGGGAUUAGCUAGUUGGUGGGGUAACGGCUCACCAGGGCGACGAUCCCUAGCUGGUCUGAGAGGAUGACCAGCCAAACGGGAACUGAGACACGGGCAAGACUCCUACGGGAGGCAGCAGUGGGGAAUAGUGGACAAUGAGCGCAAGCCUGAUGCAGCCAUGCGGGGUGGAUGAAGAAGGCCUUGGGGUUGUAAAGUACUUUAAGCGGGGAGGCGUUACCCGCAGAAGAAGCACCGGCUAACUCCGUGCCAGCAGCCGCGGUAAUUC
This 406-nucleotide ribosomal RNA is filed under the name uncultured bacterium. RNAcentral describes it as "partial 16S ribosomal RNA". It matches the Rfam family "Bacterial small subunit ribosomal RNA", at positions 29 to 526 of the family's 1533-position model. The record is from RNAcentral.